GGGGCUGUCACGGUUUCGACAGGUUGGCGAACGUUGCACUGUGAUACAGGUCGAGAGUGAGUCCACUCUCGUAAAUCAAGGCUCAAAACAAAUAGAUGCAAACAACAUCGUUUCCUUUGCUCGUAAGUCGGCACCUGUUGCUGCUUAAAAAACCUAAACUCUAGGUCCGAGCGCCACCAAGCUGACUCCGUUAAAGUUUGCUGGCAUUAACCCCAACGGAUGCGCUGAGGGAAUUUUCUCUGAUUACAACUCAGCUAAGACUUAAUUAGAGCAUCCUACCAGUUGGGAUAAUAACUGGAUCCUGUUCUGAGGGUUAGAAGAACUAAGCCUGUGAAUGAAUAGUGCAUUAAUACCCAAUUUGGACACGGGUUCGACUCCCGUCAGCUCCAUUA
Molecule: transfer-messenger RNA, 392 nt
Filed under: Leptolyngbyaceae
Lineage: Bacteria; Bacillati; Cyanobacteriota; Cyanophyceae; Leptolyngbyales
Also listed under: 1 other name
Description: JAAUSA01 sp015207035 Standard tmRNA
Rfam family: transfer-messenger RNA
About the family: Bacterial tmRNA, also known as 10Sa RNA or SsrA, is named for its dual tRNA and mRNA-like properties. Its role is to liberate the mRNA from a stalled ribosome.
Source: RNAcentral